This is a non-coding RNA of Potamilus streckersoni, 68 nucleotides long. The record is from the annotation of a GenBank genome assembly. NCBI's taxonomy places the organism in Eukaryota, Metazoa, Mollusca, Bivalvia, Unionida, Unionidae.
GGUGGCAUAGUGGUUAGAGCGUCCUCCUUGGAUGCGGCAUGUCGUGGGUUCGAACCCCGGUAGAAUCA